This 447-nucleotide ribosomal RNA is filed under the name uncultured bacterium. RNAcentral describes it as "partial 16S ribosomal RNA". It matches the Rfam family "Bacterial small subunit ribosomal RNA", at positions 29 to 523 of the family's 1533-position model. The record is from RNAcentral.
AACGAACGCUGGCGGCAGGCCUAAUGCAUGCAAGUCGAACGAACCUUCGGGUUAGUGGCGCACGGGUGCGUAACGCGUGGGAAUGUACACCUUGGUAAGGAAUAACUGCUGGAAACGGUAGCUAAUGCCUUAUAAUGACUCCGGUCCAAAGAUUUAUCGCCAAGGAAUCAGCCCGCGUUAGAUUGGCUAGUUGGUGAGGUAAUGGCUCACCAAGGCGACGAUCUAUAGGGGGUCUGAGAGGAUGAUCCCCCACACUGGAACUGAGACACGGUCCAGACUCCUACGGGAGGCAGCAGUAAGGAAUAUUGGACAAUGGGGGCAACCCUGAUCCAGCCAUGCCGCGUGUGUGAAGAAGGCCUUAGGGUUGUAAAGCACUUUCAAACGUGAAGAUAAUGACGGUAGCGUUAGAAGGAGCUCCGGCUAAAUUCGUGCCAGCCGCCGCCGUAA